AAUAUUUGACAAUGGUCGAAAGCCUGAUCCAGCCAUGCCGCGUGUGUGAAGAAGGNCUNNGGAUUNUNAAGCACUUUAAGUUGNNNNNGAGGGUUGUAGGUUAAUACCCUUCACUUUUGACGUUACCAACAGAAUAAGCACCGGCUAACUUCGAGCCAGCAGCCGCGGUAAUACGAAGGGUGCAAGCGUUAAUCGGAAUUACUGGGCGUAAAGCGCGCGUAGGUGGUUUGUUAAGUUGGAAGUGAAAGCCCCGGGCUCAACCUGGGAACUACUUUCAAAACUGGCAAGCUAGAGUAUGGCAGAGGGUGGUGGAAUUUCCUGUGUAGCGGUGAAAUGCGUAGAUAUAGGAAGGAACAUCAGUGGCGAAGGCGACUACCUGGACUGAUACUGACACUGAGGUGCGAAAGCGUGGGGAGCAAACAGG
RNAcentral lists this ribosomal RNA (424 nucleotides) under uncultured bacterium. RNAcentral describes it as "partial 16S ribosomal RNA". It matches the Rfam family "Bacterial small subunit ribosomal RNA", at positions 360 to 776 of the family's 1533-position model. The record is from RNAcentral.